Long non-coding RNA from Nematolebias whitei (Rio pearlfish), 342 nucleotides. RefSeq lists it as uncharacterized. The record is from RefSeq and is a predicted model, not a curated record. The transcript has 3 exons. NCBI's taxonomy places the organism in Eukaryota, Metazoa, Chordata, Actinopteri, Cyprinodontiformes, Rivulidae.
UUGCAGCUUUGCUGAAGCACACUGGGCUACUGGGCCAAGCCUGUGGAGAGGAAAGGUAUCAACCUUCCAAGUCCCUCUCAGAAGUCUAUCGCAGUGUUUAUAAAGUGAGAAACCGCCUGCUGGCCUGUAAGAACAUGGACUUUAUUCAGACCAGGUCUUCUUCACGUGAACGGAGGAUUUCAGACAAUCAGGACUCUCUGGAUAUGGACCCUCAGGAGCACUCGUUCACUCGCACCAUUGACGAGGAAGCAGAGCUUGAAGAGAGAGCGGACUGUGAAAGAGAAGACAGUCACCAGGAGCAAAACAAUGAAGAGGAUGACAGAGAACAUGAAGUGAUGACAG